CACAUACAUCGGGAUGUAAUGGAUUUUAAAGUCAAAAUCACAAUGGACAAUAAUUUGUUUUUCUUUUUUGUUUUUUUCAUAUAUACAAAAAACAAAAAAUAGUUAAUGUUCUUGCUUAGAGAUCCCCUGCUGGUGAAUGUGGGUAGGAUUUGGGCUAAAGGGUUAUGAUUAUGUACCAAGGAGAAGGGUGGUUCACAGUCCCAGGUGUAAGUGUUCAG
Molecule: non-coding RNA, 218 nt
Organism: Pelobates cultripes (western spadefoot toad)
Lineage: Eukaryota; Metazoa; Chordata; Amphibia; Anura; Pelobatidae
Source: the annotation of a GenBank genome assembly